RNAcentral lists this ribosomal RNA (432 nucleotides) under Triticum aestivum (bread wheat). RNAcentral describes it as "partial small subunit ribosomal RNA". The record is from RNAcentral. Lineage: Eukaryota; Viridiplantae; Streptophyta; Magnoliopsida; Poales; Poaceae.
AUGAUCCACGACUGGGCCUUCACCGACUCCCACUACGUCGUCCUCGGCAACAGGAUCAGGCUCGACAUCCCGGGGUCGAUGCUGGCCAUGACGCGCACGCACCCCAUGAUCGCGGCGCUCGCGCUGGACCCGGGCAGGCGGACCACGCCGGUCUACCUGCUGCCGCGCUCCACGGAGGCCGUGGCCAGCGGCCGCGACUGGACCGUGCCCGUCGAGGCGCCGUCGCAGAUGUGGUCGCUGCACGUCGGCAACGCCUUCGAGAAGGACAACGGCCGCGGCGGCCUCGACCUGCACCUGCACAUGUCGGGCUGCUCCUACGACUGGUUCCAUUUCCACAAGAUGUUUGGUUACAACUGGAAGAACAAGAAGCUGGAGCCUUCCUUCAUGAACGCAGUGAAGACCAAGGAAAUGCUGCCUCUUGUUCUUACCUGA